GGGUUACUUCGGUAUCUGAGACCGGCGCACGGGUGCGUAACGCGUAUGCAAUCUACCUUUUACUAUGGGAUAGCCCAGAGAAAUUUGGAUUAAUACCAUAUAGUAUAUUUGAAUGGCAUCGUUUGAAUAUUAAAGACUUAUCGGUAAAAGAUAAGCAUGCGUCCCAUUAGUUAGUUGGUGUGGCAACGGCAUACCAAGACGAUGAUGGGUAGGGGUCCUGAGAGGGAGAUCCCCCACACUGGUACUGAGACACGGACCAGACUCCUACGGGAGGCAGCAGUGAGGAAUAUUGGUCAAUGGAGGCAACUCUGAACCAGCCAUGCCGCGUGCAGGAUGACGGUCCUAUGGAUUGUAAACUGCUUUUGUACGGGAAGAAAACAAACUACGAGUAGUUAAUUGACGGUACCGUAAGAAUAAGGAUCGGCUAACUCCGUGCCAGCAGCCGCGGUAAUACGGAGGAUCCAAGCGUUAUCCGGAAUCAUUGGGGUUUAAAGGGGUCCGUAGGCGGNCCUUAUAAGUCAGUGGUGAAAGUUUUUGCUUAACCAAAAAUUGCCAUUGAUACUGUAGGGCUUGAAUAUCUGUGAAGUAACUAGAAUAUGUAGUGUAGCGGUGAAAUGCUUAGAUAUUACAUGGAAUACCGAUUGCGAAGGCAGGUUACUAACAGAUGAUUGACGCUGAUGGACGAAAGCGUGGGUAGCGAACAGGAUUAGAUACCCUGGUAGUCCACGCCGUAAACGAUGGAUACUAGCUGUUUGGUUUUCGGACUGAGUGGCUAAGCGAAAGUGAUAAGUAUCCCACCUGGGGAGUACGGUCGCAAGACUGAAACUCAAAGGAAUUGACGGGGGCCCGCACAAGCGGUGGAGCAUGUGGUUUAAUUCGAUGAUACGCGAGGAACCUUACCAGGGCUUAAAUGUAGAUUGACAGAUUUGGAACAGAUUUUUCUUCGGACCAUUUACAAGGUGCUGCAUGGUUGUCGUCAGCUCGUGCCGUGAGGUGUCAGGUUAAGUCCUAUAACGAGCGCANCCCCUGUUGUUAGUUGCCAGCACGUAAUGGUGGGAACUCUAGCAGACUGCCAGUGUAAACUGUGAGGAAGGGGGGGAUGACGUCAAAUCAUCACGGCCUUACGUCUGGGCCACCCCGU
RNAcentral lists this ribosomal RNA (1141 nucleotides) under uncultured Myroides sp. Its description in RNAcentral is "bacterial SSU rRNA". It matches the Rfam family "Bacterial small subunit ribosomal RNA", at positions 72 to 1223 of the family's 1533-position model. The record is from RNAcentral. Lineage: Bacteria; Pseudomonadati; Bacteroidota; Flavobacteriia; Flavobacteriales; Flavobacteriaceae.